This 550-nucleotide ribosomal RNA is filed under the name uncultured archaeon. Its description in RNAcentral is "bacterial SSU rRNA". It matches the Rfam family "Archaeal small subunit ribosomal RNA", at positions 326 to 878 of the family's 1478-position model. The record is from RNAcentral.
CGGGGAGCAACAGGCGCGAAACCUCUGCAAUAGGCGAAAGCCUGACAGGGUUAUUCUGAGUGACUUUCGCUAAGAAAGUCUUUUGACAUCUCUAAAAAUGGUGUAGAAUAAGGGGUGGGCAAGUCUGGUGUCAGCCGCCGCGGUAAUACCAGCACCCCGAGUGGUCGGGACGAUUAUUGGGCCUAAAGCAUCCGUAGCCGGUUUUACAAGUCCUCCGUUAAAUCCAACUGCUUAACAGAUGGGCCGCGGAGGAUACUAUAAGACUAGGAGGCAGGAGAGGCAAGCGGUACUCAGUGGGUAGGGGUAAAAUCCGUUGAUCCAUUGAAGACCACCAGUGGCGAAGGCGGCUUGCCAGAAUGCGCUCGACGGUGAGGGAUGAAAGCUGGGGGAGCAAACCGGAUUAGAUACCCGGGUAGUCCCAGCUGUAAACGAUGCAGACUCGGUGAUGGACUAGCUUAAUGCUAGUCCAGUGCCGCAGGGAAGCCGUUAAGUCUGCCGCCUGGGUAGUACGGUCGCAAGACUGAAACUUAAAGGAAUUGGCGGGGGAGCA